GGUUAAGUUAGAAAGGGCGCACGGUGGAUGCCUUGACACUAGGAGUCGAUGAAGGACGGGACUAACGCCGAUAUGCUUCGGGGAGCUGUAAGUAAGCUUUGAUCCGAAGAUUUCCGAAUGGGGAAACCCACCAUACGUAAUGGUAUGGUAUCCUUAUCUGAAUACAUAGGGUAAGGAAGACAGACCCAGGGAACUGAAACAUCUAAGUACCUGGAGGAAGAGAAAGCAAAUGCGAUUUCCUGAGUAGCGGCGAGCGAAACGGAACAUAGCCCAAACCAAGAGGCUUGCCUCUUGGGGUUGUAGGACAUUCUAUACGGAGUUACAAAGGAACGAGGUAGACGAAGCGACCUGGAAAGGUCCGUCGUAGAGGGUAACAACCCCGUAGUCGAAACUUCGUUCUCUCUUGAAUGUAUCCUGAGUACGGCGGAACACGUGAAAUUCCGUCGGAAUCUGGGAGGACCAUCUCCCAAGGCUAAAUACUCCCUAGUGAUCGAUAGUGAACCAGUACCGUGAGGGAAAGGUGAAAAGCACCCCGGAAGGGGAGUGAAAGAGAUCCUGAAACCGUGUGCCUACAAAUAGUCAGAGCCCGUUAACGGGUGAUGGCGUGCCUUUUGUAGAAUGAACCGGCGAGUUACGAUCCCGUGCGAGGUUAAGCUGAAGAGGCGGAGCCGCAGCGAAAGCGAGUCUGAAUAGGGCGUUUAGUACGUGGUCGUAGACCCGAAACCAGGUGAUCUACCCAUGUCCAGGGUGAAGUUCAGGUAACACUGAAUGGAGGCCCGAACCCACGCACGUUGAAAAGUGCGGGGAUGAGGUGUGGGUAGCGGAGAAAUUCCAAUCGAACCUGGAGAUAGCUGGUUCUCCCCGAAAUAGCUUUAGGGCUAGCCUUAAGUGUAAGAGUCUUGGAGGUAGAGCACUGAUUGGACUAGGGGUCCUCAUCGGAUUACCGAAUUCAGUCAAACUCCGAAUGCCAAUGACUUAUCCUUAGGAGUCAGACUGCGAGUGAUAAGAUCCGUAGUCAAAAGGGAAACAGCCCAGACCGCCAGCUAAGGUCCCAAAGUGUGUAUUAAGUGGAAAAGGAUGUGGAGUUGCUUAGACAACUAGGAUGUUGGCUUAGAAGCAGCCACCAUUUAAAGAGUGCGUAAUAGCUCACUAGUCGAGUGACUCUGCGCCGAAAAUGUACCGGGGCUAAAUACACCACCGAAGCUGCGGAUUGAUACCAAUGGUAUCAGUGGUAGGGGAGCGUUCUAAGGACAGUGAAGUCAGACCGUAAGGACUGGUGGAGUGCUUAGAAGUGAGAAUGCCGGUAUGAGUAGCGAAAGACGGGUGAGAAUCCCGUCCACCGAAUGCCUAAGGUUUCCUGAGGAAGGCUCGUCCGCUCAGGGUUAGUCAGGACCUAAGCCGAGGCCGACAGGCGUAGGCGAUGGACAACAGGUUGAUAUUCCUGUACCACCUCUUUAUCGUUUGAGCAAUGGAGGGACGCAGAAGGAUAGAAGAAGCGUGCGAUUGGUUGUGCACGUCCAAGCAGUUAGGCUGAUAAGUAGGCAAAUCCGCUUAUCGUGAAGGCUGAGCUGUGAUGGGGAAGCUCCUUAUGGAGCGAAGUCUUUGAUUCCCCGCUGCCAAGAAAAGCUUCUAGCGAGAUAAAAGGUGCCUGUACCGCAAACCGACACAGGUAGGCGAGGAGAGAAUCCUAAGGUGUGCGAGAGAACUCUGGUUAAGGAACUCGGCAAAAUGACCCCGUAACUUCGGGAGAAGGGGUGCUUUCUUAACGGAAAGCCGCAGUGAAUAGGCCCAAGCGACUGUUUAGCAAAAACACAGCUCUCUGCGAAGCCGUAAGGCGAAGUAUAGGGGUGACACCUGCCCGGUGCUGGAAGGUUAAGGAGAGGGGUUAGCGUAAGCGAAGCUCUGAACUGAAGCCCCAGUAAACGGCGGCCGUAACUAUAACGGUCCUAAGGUAGCGAAAUUCCUUGUCGGGUAAGUUCCGACCCGCACGAAAGGUGUAACGAUUUGGGCACUGUCUCAACCAGAGACUCGGUGAAAUUAUAGUACCUGUGAAGAUGCAGGUUACCCGCGACAGGACGGAAAGACCCCGUGGAGCUUUACUGUAGCCUGAUAUUGAAUUUUGGUACAGUUUGUACAGGAUAGGCGGGAGCCAUUGAAACCGGAGCGCUAGCUUCGGUGGAGGCGCUGGUGGGAUACCGCCCUGACUGUAUUGAAAUUCUAACCUACGGGUCUUAUCGACCCGGGAGACAGUGUCAGGUGGGCAGUUUGACUGGGGCGGUCGCCUCCUAAAGUGUAACGGAGGCGCCCAAAGGUUCCCUCAGAAUGGUUGGAAAUCAUUCGUAGAGUGCAAAGGCAUAAGGGAGCUUGACUGCGAGACCUACAAGUCGAGCAGGGACGAAAGUCGGGCUUAGUGAUCCGGUGGUUCCGCAUGGAAGGGCCAUCGCUCAACGGAUAAAAGCUACCCGGGGAUAACAGGCUUAUCUCCCCCAAGAGUCCACAUCGACGGGGAGGUUUGGCACCUCGAUGUCGGCUCAUCGCAUCCUGGGGCUGUAGUCGGUCCCAAGGGUUGGGCUGUUCGCCAUUAAAGCGGUACGCGAGCUGGGUUCAGAACGUCGUGAGACAGUUCGGUCCCUAUCCGUCGUGGGCGUAGGAAAUUUGAGAGGAGCUGUCCUUAGUACGAGAGGACCGGGAUGGACGCACCGCUGGUGUACCAGUUGUUCUGCCAAGGGCAUAGCUGGGUAGCUAUGUGCGGAAGGGAUAAGUGCUGAAAGCAUCUAAGCAUGAAGCCCCCCUCAAGAUGAGAUUUCCCAUAGCGUAAGCUAGUAAGAUCCCUGAAAGAUGAUCAGGUUGAUAGGUUCGAGGUGGAAGCAUGGUGACAUGUGGAGCUGACGAAUACUAAUAGAUCGAGGACUUAACCAU
RNAcentral lists this ribosomal RNA (2919 nucleotides) under Bacillus thuringiensis. Its description in RNAcentral is "23S ribosomal RNA". It matches the Rfam family "Bacterial large subunit ribosomal RNA". The record is from RNAcentral. Lineage: Bacteria; Bacillati; Bacillota; Bacilli; Caryophanales; Bacillaceae.